Molecule: ribosomal RNA, 394 nt
Filed under: uncultured bacterium
Lineage: Bacteria
Description: partial 16S ribosomal RNA
Rfam family: Bacterial small subunit ribosomal RNA
Source: RNAcentral
AUACGUAGGGGGCGAGCGUUGUCCGGAAUUAUUGGGCGUAAAGAGUACGUAGGCGGUUCUGUAAGCGGGAGGUGAAAGCCCGGGGCUUAACUCCGGUAAGCCUUUCGAACUGCAGGACUUGAGUGCUGGAGGGGAAAGUGGAAUUCCUAGUGUAGCGGUGAAAUGCGUAGAUAUUAGGAGGAACACCGGCGGCGAAGGCGGCUUUCUGGACUGUAACUGACACUGAGGCACGAAAGCGUGGGGAGCAAACAGGAUUAGAUACCCUGGUAGUCCACGCCGUAAACGAUGAGCACUAGCUGUUGGGGCCGAAUGGUCUCAGUGGCGCAGUUAACGCAAUAAGUGCUCCGCCUGGGGAGUACGCGCGCAAGCGUAAAACUCAAAGGAAUUGGCGGGG